This is a long non-coding RNA of Anas platyrhynchos (mallard), 1504 nucleotides long. RefSeq lists it as uncharacterized. NCBI's taxonomy places the organism in Eukaryota, Metazoa, Chordata, Aves, Anseriformes, Anatidae. The record is from RefSeq and is a predicted model, not a curated record.
AAAAAUCAGAGAAAGUAAAAAAUAAACAAAACAAAAACAAACAAAAUAAAACAAAAUAAAACUGCCAGUGAGAAGUAUGCAUAGCUUCAAAUCCCUUACGCUACCCUGCUUGGAUUUCCUCAAGUUCAUCCAUCCCCCUCCUUUUCUUCCCCCUGUUUUUCUUUAACAUUUGUCCUCUGAACCACUUUCCCUAUAAAUACCCUUUAAGGGCUGUGGAAUUAAGGGUAAAAUCCUUUCAGUCUGAGACCGGGUCUCCUUAGUCAGGGAACAGCCCAUCAGAGAGAAAUCCUUCUUCCUGCACAAGCUUUCCUUUAAUGAUGGCUAAUUAACCUGGUGCUGUGUUAAAAACUUACCAUAUUUAUCAUGUCUGACUCAGUUCUUAUUCAUUGCUAUUUAAGAGAACAACAGAGAUAACUUGCCUUACUUUCAUCUGUGUUCAUGUAGUUUGGCUUGGCUAGAGGGUUAAACGAACUCCAAGCCUUUAGUUCUCUUAGAUCAUGUACAGGAUGCUGAUAGUUUUACCAGAUUUGUCUGGAUCCCUCGUGCAGAGUCAGGACUUCCCUGUUCUUUAGAUCAGCACUUUCCUGGCUGAGCUCCAGCUCAGCCUCCACACUAAAAUGACAGCCUGUAUCUGGAAAGAAGCCAGUCAAGUCCUCCCAGCACUCACAGGGGAAUCCUUCACUCCAGUGAAAUUCCUACUGGGAAGAAAUGAAAAUAAAACCCAAACAUCUACCUGAUGCAAAAGUAAUAUCAUCUAUAUUCAAUAUAUAUUGUUUUUCUCUUCCUCUGAAAACUUCCCUGUUUGAAAAGAUGCCAGAUCCAGUUCAGUUUUUAAAUAAAUAGAUAGAUAAAUAAAAAUCUGAUCUAUAUCCAGCUAUGCCUUGAUUGAAUUUGGAUCCAUCGCUGAAUUAGGUUCGGCAGAACAGUCACACAGUGACCAUCACAGACCUCACCUGAGGAUGUCCGCCUGGCUAAGAUUGCUUCUACACUUGCCCAAGAAGAGGCUGAGGAGGGGAACUGGAAGGGAAAGGAAGGGAUGGACCAGGGGCCUGUGGAAGCAUAUAUAUACAAGCUUAAGCUAACCUUACCCUACUGCAGAGUUAAGUUAGCACAGUCCCCAUGCAGUUCUGAUUACAGGACUUGGCUAGUGCAAAAAUAGCUGGCACCAGGUUCAGUUUCUUCCUCUUCUGCUAAACAGUGCUUUCAUGUGAAGAGAAAUUGACCCCAGCACUCAGUAACAUUUUCAUCCUCCCUUCCCUGCAGUUCAGUGGUUAUGUAAGUAGUAAUAAAUCCAUAUUUGAAGUACUGUUGACUGCCUUAGAAUUUAAGCAGUAAAGGAAAUAAAGUAAUGCAGCCCUUACACAGUUAAACAUGCUGUCUAAUGUUGGGAAUAACUAAAAGCAUGGUUGACUCAGGAACUAAAUAAAACUAACGCACCACUGUAUCAUUUUUUAUAAUCCUUAUUAGUAGAAACCAGGAACAAGUGUGCAUGUUUGCACAUGAC